CUUGAAAGCUGAAAAACAAUUCAUAAGAACUAAUAAAUUAAAGAAAUCAAGAGAAUGGCAAAAAUACAUAAAAAUCUUAAUGUAGGUCUACAGUCAUAUGUAUCCAUUCAUCCUUUUAGCAUGUACUGAAUCCCCACCGUGGGCUAUGCAUUCUACUCAUCACAGGUCAAAGGGCAACGAAUAAUACAAUCUCUGCCUUCAAGGAAUUCAUAGUCAAAUGGCUAAACAGAUAAUAAACAUACAAUUACAAUACAGGGUGAUAAAGUGAUAGUUUUUGGUACAGAAUGCUGGAGAAGGGUCUCAAAGGGACGCUUACUCAUGAGGUGGGUGGGACGGUGUUGUAAGACCUCCUGAAUGUGAUGAUGUCCAAAUGCAGGACAGCUUUAUGAGGGUAGGGUGCUAUGGAGCGUAUACUUCUCUAGAUAUUUAUAAGUGCUUGUAUUUGUAUGAAAUAAAAGCAAGAAGCCAUGCUAACAACAAAGUGACACCAAAUAUUGCCGUGGCUGACACCAGAGCCUCAACCCUUGGCUCUGUUUCAGGAGCUCCAGUAAUCAAAAGAUAAGUAUGCUGAAUGAGGCUUUGGGGAGGUCUGAGGAGGAAGGAAGACAACAUUCUCAAGUUUGCAAGUGACCCAAACUGCCUGAGAAAUUUGGGGAGCACCAUGAAGUAUGAUCAGCACAGCCUAAAAGAUGUACAAAUAUUUGAAUAAUGGUUCAGCAGUCUUCCCUUUGAGGAGCCGAGAGCACUUGUGCCAGAAAAGACUCUGCUUUUACAGAUGGCCAGCCUGAGGCUAGGAUAGCCAUUUCCCCAAAUAGGGAGCAGACCAGGACUUGCAGAAACAAAACAGAUCACGCCAUUGCUGGCUUGUCUCUUUGUUCUGGUGUCGAGAUCAGGCCCCUCCCUCCACCACUGAAGAGACGGAGAGGAAAGCUAAAAAUGGCUCUGUUCAGGGGGUCACAGAAUUUGGAGUCAGCUUUGUGCCUCGGGCCGUGGUCGCGCGCCCACUGUGUUCCUCGGGAGACGCCACACGCGGUUGCAGGCGGGCGCGGGCGGGGCGCUCAGCAUGGCAAGUCUGCACGUGUAUCCAAGUUGCCGCGACUCAGCGAUGAUUUUCUGGCAGACGCUGCUACAGCAUGGCUUGAUGAGUGGUAUGCAGUUCUGUGCCCAGGAUCCAAACCCAGGAACACCAGGCCACCGAAGUGGAGUGUGCAAACUUAACCACUAUGCCACCAGGCCGGCCCCCAUGAAGAACUCUUUAACACACCUUUGGGCAUUCUUGUUGGGCUUUCUCUAUCUCUCAAAGACCUAAGGUCCAGAGUAUAUUUUGGGAAGGCUUGCUUUAUACUCAGAGAGAAUUGCUUCCUCCUACUUUAAAAACAGAAAGGAAGAUAAAGAUCUCAUUUCCAUAACACAAUGUAUAAAGACAACCUGAUUCAGCUGAUGACUGCCAAG
RNAcentral lists this long non-coding RNA (1452 nucleotides) under Equus caballus (horse). Its description in RNAcentral is "lncRNA (ENSECAG00000048338.1)". Lineage: Eukaryota; Metazoa; Chordata; Mammalia; Perissodactyla; Equidae. The record is from RNAcentral.